Molecule: ribosomal RNA, 895 nt
Filed under: Lacticaseibacillus rhamnosus
Lineage: Bacteria; Bacillati; Bacillota; Bacilli; Lactobacillales; Lactobacillaceae
Description: bacterial SSU rRNA
Rfam family: Bacterial small subunit ribosomal RNA
Source: RNAcentral
ACACGUGGGUAACCUGCCCUUAAGUGGGGGAUAACAUUUGGAAACAGAUGCUAAUACCGCAUAAAUCCAAGAACCGCAUGGUUCUUGGCUGAAAGAUGGCGUAAGCUAUCGCUUUUGGAUGGACCCGCGGCGUAUUAGCUAGUUGGUGAGGUAACGGCUCACCAAGGCAAUGAUACGUAGCCGAACUGAGAGGUUGAUCGGCCACAUUGGGACUGAGACACGGCCCAAACUCCUACGGGAGGCAGCAGUAGGGAAUCUUCCACAAUGGACGCAAGUCUGAUGGAGCAACGCCGCGUGAGUGAAGAAGGCUUUCGGGUCGUAAAACUCUGUUGUUGGAGAAGAAUGGUCGGCAGAGUAACUGUUGUCGGCGUGACGGUAUCCAACCAGAAAGCCACGGCUAACUACGUGCCAGCAGCCGCGGUAAUACGUAGGUGGCAAGCGUUAUCCGGAUUUAUUGGGCGUAAAGCGAGCGCAGGCGGUUUUUUAAGUCUGAUGUGAAAGCCCUCGGCUUAACCGAGGAAGUGCAUCGGAAACUGGGAAACUUGAGUGCAGAAGAGGACAGUGGAACUCCAUGUGUAGCGGUGAAAUGCGUAGAUAUAUGGAAGAACACCAGUGGCGAAGGCGGCUGUCUGGUCUGUAACUGACGCUGAGGCUCGAAAGCAUGGGUAGCGAACAGGAUUAGAUACCCUGGUAGUCCAUGCCGUAAACGAUGAAUGCUAGGUGUUGGAGGGUUUCCGCCCUUCAGUGCCGCAGCUAACGCAUUAAGCAUUCCGCCUGGGGAGUACGACCGCAAGGUUGAAACUCAAAGGAAUUGACGGGGGCCCGCACAAGCGGUGGAGCAUGUGGUUUAAUUCGAAGCAACGCGAAGAACCUUACCAGGUCUUGACAUCUUUUG